UGACCUCAGAUCAGGCAAGGCUACCCGCUGAAUUUAAGCAUAUUAAUAAGCGGAGGANAAGAAACUAACAAGGAUUGAUCCGUAUAGAUCCAAAUAGAUCCGUAACUUCGGGAAAAGGAUUGGCUCUAAGGGUUGGGUCUGUCGGGCUGAGACUUGAAGCCAGUGGACCCGGCCCGGACUGGCCGAGGCCCUUCAGGGGGUCGAAGCU
Nematostella vectensis (starlet sea anemone) is the source of this 208-nucleotide non-coding RNA. NCBI's taxonomy places the organism in Eukaryota, Metazoa, Cnidaria, Anthozoa, Actiniaria, Edwardsiidae. The record is from Rfam.